Molecule: ribosomal RNA, 440 nt
Filed under: uncultured bacterium
Lineage: Bacteria
Description: partial 16S ribosomal RNA
Rfam family: Bacterial small subunit ribosomal RNA
Source: RNAcentral
CCUACGGGCGGCAGCAGUGGGGAAUAUUGCACAAUGGGGGAAACCCUGAUGCAGCGACGCCGCGUGAGUGAAGGAGUAAUUCGUUAUGUAAAGCUCUAUCAGCAGGGAAGAAAAUGACGGUACCUGAGCAAGAAGCCCCGGCUAACUACGUGCCAGCAGCCGCGGUAAUACGUAGGGGGCAAGCGUUAUCCGGAUUUACUGGGUGUAAAGGGAGCGUAGACGGGAAUGCAAGUCUGGCGUGAAAGGCGGGGGCCCAACCCCCGGACUGCUCUGGAAACUGGACGGCUGGAGUGCAGGAGAGGUAAGUGGAAUUCCUAGUGUAGCGGUGAAAUGCGUAGAUAUUAGGAGGAACACCAGUGGCGAAGGCGGCUUACUGGACUGUAACUGACGUUGAGGCUCGAAGGCGUGGGGAGCAAACAGGAUUAGAUACCCGAGUAGUC